CGCUCUCCUCCGCUCACCUCUUGGAUCACGCCCCAGUACCAACACCUCUGCCACAGCUCACCCCAGAUCUGCCCAGACAUCAAAGCCAGCUUCCUACAACCCCGGCCACCGGAAAGAGUGCUCUGCGCCUUUGCUACCCAUCUCCACAUUUUGUGGUGCCUCUUUAGUUCAGUUAAAAGAAAUAAAAUUGUAUCUUAUUUUUUUCCUA
Nothobranchius furzeri (turquoise killifish) is the source of this 208-nucleotide non-coding RNA. The record is from RefSeq and is a predicted model, not a curated record. NCBI's taxonomy places the organism in Eukaryota, Metazoa, Chordata, Actinopteri, Cyprinodontiformes, Nothobranchiidae.